Molecule: non-coding RNA, 128 nt
Organism: Oryzias latipes (Japanese medaka)
Lineage: Eukaryota; Metazoa; Chordata; Actinopteri; Beloniformes; Adrianichthyidae
Source: Rfam
GCUGCCCCUUGAGAUGCAGCUCAGGCGUCUGUGCCUCUGCUGUGCAUUAGGAGGGCAGAAAGCGACAGGCUCUCGAUAGCUCCAGGUCCCCCGUGGUGGACUUUGAGUAUGGAACCGGGCCUGACAUG